CACCUGCUCCACACUGAGAUGUGUUCUAAC
RNAcentral lists this non-coding RNA (30 nucleotides) under Mus musculus (house mouse). Lineage: Eukaryota; Metazoa; Chordata; Mammalia; Rodentia; Muridae. The record is from RNAcentral.